CAAUAGCGUAUAUUUAAGUUGUUGCAGUUAAAAAGCUCGUAGUUGGAUUUCGGAUGGGACUUGCCGGUCCGUCGUUUCGAUGUGCACUGGCCAGUCCUAUCUUGUUGUCGGGGACUAGCUCCUUGGAUUCACUUCCUGGGACUAGGAGCUGACGAGGUUACUUUGAGUAAAUUAGAGUGUUCAAAGCAAGCCUACGCUCUGAAUACAUUAGCAUGGAAUAACACGAUAGGACUCUGGCUUAUCUUGUUGGUCUGUGAGACCAGAGUAAUGAUUAAGAGGGACAGUCGGGGACAUUCGUAUUUCAUUGUCAGAGGUGAAAUUCUUGGAUUUAUGAAAGACGAACUUCUGCGAAAGCAUUUGUCAAGGAUGUUUUCAUUAG
This 379-nucleotide ribosomal RNA is filed under the name uncultured eukaryote. RNAcentral's name for it is "partial 18S ribosomal RNA". It matches the Rfam family "Eukaryotic small subunit ribosomal RNA", at positions 592 to 976 of the family's 1831-position model. The record is from RNAcentral.